Small nuclear RNA from Pongo abelii (Sumatran orangutan), 97 nucleotides. The record is from Ensembl. Lineage: Eukaryota; Metazoa; Chordata; Mammalia; Primates; Hominidae.
UUGCUUCAGCAGCAUGCAUGCUAAAAUUGGAAUGAUACAGAGAAGAUUAGUUUGGCCUCUGUAAAAAUAUGUAUUUUUUCUUUUAUAAAUUUUUUUU